This 251-nucleotide ribosomal RNA is filed under the name uncultured prokaryote. RNAcentral describes it as "partial 16S rRNA". It matches the Rfam family "Bacterial small subunit ribosomal RNA", at positions 525 to 775 of the family's 1533-position model. The record is from RNAcentral.
ACGGGGGGUGCAAGCGUUGUUCGGAAUUAUUGGGCGUAAAGAGCGUGUAGGCGGCUUGUCAAGUCAGAUGUGAAAGCCCUGGGCUUAACCCAGGAAGUGCAUUUGAAACUGGCAGGCUAGAGUAGGGGAGAGGGAAGUGGAAUUCCAGGUGUGGAGGUGAAAUUCGUUGAUACCAGGAGGACCACCGGUGGCGAAGGCGACUCCCUGGCACUAUUCCGACACUGAGGAGCGAAAGCUUGGGUAGCAAACAG